Molecule: unclassified non-coding RNA, 325 nt
Organism: Erinaceus europaeus (western European hedgehog)
Lineage: Eukaryota; Metazoa; Chordata; Mammalia; Eulipotyphla; Erinaceidae
Gene: 7SK
Rfam family: 7SK RNA
About the family: 7SK was discovered as an abundant small nuclear RNA in the mid-70s but a possible function has only recently been suggested. Two independent studies have found that 7SK RNA binds the CDK9/cyclin T complex (known as elongation factor P-TEFb). P-TEFb activates transcription by phosphorylating the C-terminal domain of RNA polymerase II.
Source: Ensembl
GGAUGUGAGGGUGAUCUCGCUGUGACAUCUGUCACCCCAUUGAUCGCCAGGGUUGAUUCGGCUGAUCUGGCUGGCUAAGCGGGUGUCCCCUUCCUCCCUCACCGCUCCAUGUAUGUCCCUCCCGAAGCUGCACACUCGGUGGAAGAGGACGGCCUUCCCUGAAUAGAAACGGACCGGGCUUCGGUCGAGGGUAUAGGAGUAGCUGCGCUCCCCUGCUAGAACCUCCAAACAAACUCUCAAGACUAGGGUUCAGUAAGAUGGCAUGUACAAAGCAUUUACCACAGUACCUGGUACACAGAAACAGCUCAGUUGAGUGUUGUUAUCA